CCUACGGGUGGCUGCAGUGGGGAAUUUUGCGCAAUGGACGAAAGUCUGACGCAGCAACGCCGCGUGGGUGAUGAAGGUCUUCGGAUCGUAAAACCCUGUCGUCAGGGACGAAGGUUGCAUGUCUAAUAGAUGUGCAGCUUGACGGUACCUGGAGAGGAAGCCCCGGCUAACUCUGUGCCAGCAGCCGCGGUAAUACAGAGGGGGCAAGCGUUAUGCGGAAUUAGCGGGGGUGAAGGCUGCGUUGAGAUUGGUAAUCCCCGAGCUUAACUUGGGAACUGCAUCUCAGACUGGGGCGCUAGAGUGCUGGAGAGGGUGGUGGAAUUCCACGUGUAGCGGUGAAAUGCGUAGAGAUGUGGAGGAACACCAGUGGCGAAGGCGGCCACCUGGACAGUAACUGACGCUGAGGCGCGAAAGUGUGGGGAGCAAACAGGAUUAGAUACCCCAGUAGUC
This 450-nucleotide ribosomal RNA is filed under the name uncultured bacterium. RNAcentral describes it as "partial 16S ribosomal RNA". It matches the Rfam family "Bacterial small subunit ribosomal RNA", at positions 338 to 795 of the family's 1533-position model. The record is from RNAcentral.